RNAcentral lists this ribosomal RNA (465 nucleotides) under Vreelandella stevensii. RNAcentral describes it as "partial 16S ribosomal RNA". It matches the Rfam family "Bacterial small subunit ribosomal RNA", at positions 338 to 795 of the family's 1533-position model. Lineage: Bacteria; Pseudomonadati; Pseudomonadota; Gammaproteobacteria; Oceanospirillales; Halomonadaceae. The record is from RNAcentral.
CCUACGGGAGGCAGCAGUGGGGAAUAUUGGACAAUGGGCGAAAGCCUGAUCCAGCCAUGCCGCGUGUGUGAAGAAGGCCUUCGGGUUGUAAAGCACUUUCAGUGGGGAAGAAAGCCUUGGGGCUAAUACCCUCGAGGAAGGACAUCACCCACAGAAGAAGCACCGGCUAACUCCGUGCCAGCAGCCGCGGUAAUACGGAGGGUGCGAGCGUUAAUCGGAAUUACUGGGCGUAAAGCGCGCGUAGGCGGUCUGAUAAGCCGGUUGUGAAAGCCCCGGGCUCAACCUGGGAACGGCAUCCGGAACUGUCAGGCUAGAGUGCAGGAGAGGAAGGUAGAAUUCCCGGUGUAGCGGUGAAAUGCGUAGAGAUCGGGAGGAAUACCAGUGGCGAAGGCGGCCUUCUGGACUGACACUGACGCUGAGGUGCGAAAGCGUGGGUAGCAAACAGGAGUAGAUACCCGUGUAGUC